This is a long non-coding RNA of Rosa chinensis, 639 nucleotides long. RefSeq lists it as uncharacterized. The record is from RefSeq and is a predicted model, not a curated record. The transcript is spliced from 2 exons. Lineage: Eukaryota; Viridiplantae; Streptophyta; Magnoliopsida; Rosales; Rosaceae.
AAGGCGCCGACCCGUUUCCUUCUAGUGACACGAUCACACGAUUCAACAUCUAUUCCACUUUUCAGCAACUUCAAGGCGUCGCACUGACGCCCUUCGACUUGUCUCGGUAGCAGGAAGCGAAGCCCAGUCGUCCCUACUCCAAACGACCGGCGACGGGUUAUCCGAUUUCGGCCACGUUACGGCGUCUCACCAGUGUCGGCAGCUUCUUCUCGGAUUCAGCAAUCUCCCUCUGGUAGUUUCUCGAAAAGCUAAGAGAGAAAGGAGAAUCAAAGCCCGGAAGCUUCGGUUCCUUUGGCAGUUUCAACGUAUUUUCCCGCGGCUUCGGCCAUGAAAGGCCGCGAUUAAAGCAAGUUCUCCUUUUCCGGUAGCUCCAGCCGAUGUCGACGAUGAAAAUGGCAUCAGACUUGAUCCUCUUAUCGAGCUGUACAUGAUUGUGUCCUUAAUUCUCAGGUUUGGUUAAGUUGAAAAAAUUGGAGUUUUGGGUUUUAAAAUUGUUACGGUUUACAAUUUGAGCGGUGAUUUUAAUGAUCUUUGAUCAAGUUUCCGACCACAUAGAAAGCUCAGAGCAUGAAUUUGGCUGUUAUUUAUGCUUGAUUUGUAAAAAUAUGAGAAUUUGGGGGAUUGGAAAGUUAAACAGGA